UAGGGAAUUUUCCGCAAUGGGCGAAAGCCUGACGGAGCAACGCCGCGUGAGUGAUGAAGGUCUUCGGAUCGUAAAACUCUGUUAUUAGGGAAGAACAAAUGUGUAAGUAACUAUGCACGUCUUGACGGUACCUAAUCAGAAAGCCACGGCUAACUACGUGCCAGCAGCCGCGGUAAUACGUAGGUGGCAAGCGUUAUCCGGAAUUAUUGGGCGUAAAGCGCGCGUAGGCGGUUUUUUAAGUCUGAGGUGAAAGCCCACGGCUCAACCGUGGAAGGUCAUUGGAAACUGGAAAACUUGAGUGCAGAAGAGGAAAGUGGAAUUCCAUGUGUAGCGGUGAAAUGCGCAGAGAUAUGGAGGAACCCCAGUGGCGAAGGCGACUUUCUGGUCUGUAACUGACGCUGAUGUGCGAAAGCGUGGGGAUCAAACAGG
Molecule: ribosomal RNA, 429 nt
Filed under: Actinomycetes bacterium
Lineage: Bacteria; Bacillati; Actinomycetota; Actinomycetes
Description: Actinobacteria bacterium partial 16S ribosomal RNA
Rfam family: Bacterial small subunit ribosomal RNA
Source: RNAcentral